GAUUAACGCUGGCGGCGCACAUAAGACAUGCAAGUCGAACGGACUUAACCGAAAGUUUACUUUGGAGCGGUUAGUGGCGGACGGGUGAGUAACGCGUAAGCAACCUGCCCUUCAGAUGGGGACAACAGCUGGAAACGGCUGCUAAUACCGAAUACGUUCUUUUGUCGCAUGGCAGAGAGAAGAAAGGGAGGCUCUUCGGAGCUUUCGCUGAAGGAGGGGCUUGCGUCUGAUUAGCUAGUUGGAGGGGUAACGGCCCACCAAGGCGACGAUCAGUAGCCGGUCUGAGAGGAUGAACGGCCACAUUGGGACUGAGACACGGCCCAG
This 324-nucleotide ribosomal RNA is filed under the name uncultured bacterium. RNAcentral's name for it is "bacterial SSU rRNA". It matches the Rfam family "Bacterial small subunit ribosomal RNA", at positions 28 to 334 of the family's 1533-position model. The record is from RNAcentral.